CUCAAUCUGGUGGGAGUAUUUUACAGAACACUUUAAGAACAGAAAAUUAGGUAUAAAAUGACAAAUUGAGCAUGUAGGUCUACCAUCCCCUCCACCAAGUCCCAAUAAACAUAUAUAUACAUACUAUUGAUAGCAUAAUAGUACUGGAAAAUAAGAAAGAAAGCAGGCAGUGCUUGAGGAUUUUAAGGAAAUCUUGGAAGACUGGAAUGAGAAUUAUGAAGAAAAACAAGAAGAGUGAUCCACUGGCCAAAAGUAGCAGAAUAAGGUAAGUCUUAUUAGAAAUAGCCUAGAGACGCUCCAAAUUUAGAGUCAAUACAGAGAGAGCCAGUGUAGGCCAGAGUGCAGUCACAGAGAUUGAGCCCAGCUGGCACCAUUUCCUCCCUCUCCCGGGCAUUCAGAGAUUGUGGUGGCUGACCAUUUCUUUUCUGCAAAAAGUGAGCCAACAGGUGAAGAUGAUUCUGUGUCAUUGUAGGAGAGGAACAAAUCUAGAUAGAAGUAAUGCUGCACCCUCAAGUAAACACGGAGUGGAAUGUGAAAGAAAAAUUAUUACCAGAAGAGAAAUUUACUAAAAUUCUGCACUGCCAGAGAGUCGCCAUCCUUUCCGUCUACCUUGCACUCACAUACUCCAUAAUAUACACAUAGCCUGCCAUUUGCCUUUCCAUUUAAGGAAGAAUUCUGUUAGGGUAAAAGACCUAAAAUGACUGCAGAGGAAAAAUAUAUUAAUAGGUAUACUAACCAACAAAUAGCCACAAACCAAUAACCAAGUAUUUCCAAUGUGGAGCAAAACCAAAAAUAGGAAGGAGAAGGCAAAGAUCAAAGAAUGGGACAACUGAUGCCAGAGGAACACAGAUAACCAAAGAUAGAGAAGAUGAUUCUAAAAAAAUUUUAAUUAAGAUUACUACAAAAAUUUUAAUUAUGAUUAACAAGGAGAAAUGUGAGAAUAGUUCGAUAUUCAAAUGAGAAUGUAUUACUUGGAACAAAGAGAACUCAGAAUAAGAAUUAUUUAAUCAACUUAAAAUUAUAAUUGUUAAAAGUUCAUAGGUAGACUGAGUAAUGUGAAAGAUAGUAUUAAAGCUAAAACAAAUGAUUUGGAAAAUAAGGUCAAGGAACUCUCUUCCCAAAAAUAUAAAUAAUAUCUGAAAAUAUUUAAGAUGGUAGAAGGAAGAUACAGCAGAUUCAACCUCUAUAUAACAUGAUCUUUAAUGACAGAGAAACAAUGGAAAAGAGAAAAUGAUCAAAGAAAUAGUAGAAAAAAAUUAUUCAUUCAAAAAAUAUAUAUAUACAGAUUUUUGGUCCACUGUGUACUAAAUAGGGUAAAUUAAAUUAAAAAAUAAUGUAGCACAGAAUGAAGGAAUUUCAAGACUAUUGCAGUAGAAAGUGGAGAUUGAACUCAAAUCCACUGAAACAAAAGGUGAAAGUGAGAGCUUUAAGCACUGGAGUGAGUUGAAAAGUACUGGAAGAUAUUAGGGAGGAGGUUGUUAAAUAUGAUUAGGACAUUUGUGUUUGCUAAUUGUUGUUUAUGGAAGUUAUGCAGCCACUUGCCCAUAGCCACUGGGACAUAGGAGUGCUUUCUCCUUUGAUGAUUACAUUUCAAAGGGAUAGCCUCAGGUCAUUGAGAAAGACAUUCUUGGGUUGUAAAACUGGAAAGAGGCUGGGAGAAGAUUUACAUGUCAAAGAGGUAGAGAAAGAAUUUACAACUGCAAGUUCUCUAUGUGAGUGAUCUGAGAAAAGGGAAGUCAAGUGCCUAAAUCAGAAAGAAACUUGUGAUCUUUAAUACCAGUAAGGAAGGGAGAGAGAGAAGGAAGGAAGGAAGGAAGAAAAGAAAAAGAAGGAAGAAAAGAAAAGGAAGGAAGGAAGGAGGGAAAGAAAGAAAGAAAAAAAGAAAGAAAGAAAGGAAAAGAAAAAAAGAAAAGAAAGGAAGGAAGGAAAGAAGAAGGGAAGAAAGGAAGAAAAGGAAGGAAGGAAAGAAGGAAGGGGAAGAAAGGACGGAACAAAGGAAGGAAGGAAUGAAAGAAGGUAGGAAGAAAGGAAGGAGAGAAGAAAAAAGGGAAGGAAGGAUAAAAAAGGGCAGGAAGGAAGGAAAAAAAGAAGGAAAAAAGGAAGGAAGAAGGAAAGACCUGUCAAAAGUCUAGUCAAUCUGAGGGGAAUGUUAAGACCAAGCUUGUCCAACCUGCAACCUGUGGGCCACAUGCAUCCCAAGACUGCUUUGAAUGCAGCCCAAAACAAAUUCAUAAACUUUCUUAAAACAUUAUGAGAUUUUUUGUGACUUUUUUUUCUUUAACUCAUCAGCUGUUGUUAGCGUUAGUGUAUUUUAUGUGUGGUCCAAGACAAUUCUUCCGUGUGGCUCAGGGAGCCCAAAAUAUUGGACACCCCUGGUUAAGACCAUCUUGGUCACCACCAUGCAUACCAGGUGGGCACGGGUUAAAAGUUUCCUGAUGGAAUGCAAGCUGCCUCUCAUUAAAUUUCGAUAAAACAUCUAUAUUAAUUUUCUAUUGUUCUUGUAACACAUUUCCACAAACAUCUCCAUUUUGGAAGGUCACCUAUCUCACUGGUGGGAAAACCAAGGUGUCCACACCUUGAAGGAAUCAGAAGGCUGAUUCCUUCUGGAGGCUCUAGGGAAAAAUCAGUCAUUUGUCUUUUCCAGAUUCAUAUACCUUCCUUGGCUUGUUCUUUCUUCUUCCAUUUUCAAAGCCAGUAAUAUAGCAUCUUCUCUCCUCUCUGAGCUCUGAUUUCAUUGUCACAUCUCCUUUGACUUUGACCUUCUUGACUCCCUCUUUAGGAACCAUUUUAUCCUCUUUGUUGAGCCCAUCCAGAUAAUCCAAGAUAAUCUCCUCAUCUGAAGAUCCUGAAUUUAAUUUAUCUCCACAAUGGCUUUUGCCAUGUAAUGUGGCAUAUCCAAAGGCUUUAAGGACUAGGAUGGGGACGUCUUUAGGGGGCCAUUAUUCCACCUACCACUACUUCGUAGGCUGCUAACUUGUUUGCUGCUGUCAGUUCGGGACCCCUAUCUUAAAACUCUUUGUCUGUUCCCACCCUAUCCACAGGCCCAGGAAAGAGUCCUGGGAAAUAGGAUUUGCAUAUACAUGUGUACAUGAGCACAAACAACAAGGUCAUUCGCACA
Molecule: long non-coding RNA, 3118 nt
Filed under: Homo sapiens (human)
Lineage: Eukaryota; Metazoa; Chordata; Mammalia; Primates; Hominidae
Description: HSALNT0011336
Source: RNAcentral